Molecule: ribosomal RNA, 301 nt
Filed under: uncultured bacterium
Lineage: Bacteria
Description: partial 16S ribosomal RNA
Rfam family: Bacterial small subunit ribosomal RNA
Source: RNAcentral
CAGUCGCCGCGGUAAUACGGAGGGGGCUAGCGUUGUUCGGAAUUACUGGGCGUAAAGCGCACGUAGGCGGCUUUGUAAGUUAGAGGUGAAAGCCCGGAGCUCAACUCCGGAAUUGCCUUUAAGACUGCAGGGCUAGCAGGUGAGAGAGGUGAGUGGAAUUCCGAGUGUAGAGGUGAAAUUCGUAGAUAUUCGGAAGAACACCAGUGGCGAAGGCGGCUCACUGGCUCAUACUGGACGCUGAGGUGCGAAAGCGUGGGGAGCAAACAGGAUUAGAGACCCCCGUAGUCCCUGUCUCUUAUAA